RNAcentral lists this ribosomal RNA (479 nucleotides) under uncultured bacterium. Its description in RNAcentral is "partial 16S ribosomal RNA". It matches the Rfam family "Bacterial small subunit ribosomal RNA", at positions 28 to 507 of the family's 1533-position model. The record is from RNAcentral.
GAUGAACGCUAGCGGGAGGCCUAACACAUGCAAGCCGAGCGGUAGAGUCUCUUCGGAGACUUGAGAGCGGCGCACGGGUGCGGAACACGUGUGCAACCUGCCUUUAUCUGGGGGAUAGCCUUUCGAAAGGAAGAUUAAUACCCCAUAAUAUACUGGCUGGCAUCAUCUGGUAUUGAAAACUCCGGUGGAUAGAGAUGGGGACGCGCAAGAUUAGAUAGUUGGUGAGGUAACGGCUCACCAAGUCAGCGAUCUUUAGGGGGCCUGAGAGGGUGAUCCCCCAGAAUGGUACUGAGACACGGACCAGAAUCCUACGGGAGGCAGCAGUGAGGAAGAUUGGACAAUGGGUGAGAGCCUGAUCCAGCCAUCCCGCGUGAAGGACGACGGCCCUAUGGGUUGUAAACUUCUUUUGUAUAGGGAUAAACCUAGAUACGUGUAUCUAGCUGAAGGUACUAUACGAAUAAGCACCGGCUAACUCCGUG